RNAcentral lists this long non-coding RNA (1996 nucleotides) under Populus trichocarpa (black cottonwood). RNAcentral's name for it is "long non-coding RNA (PTRI_LNC000179)". Lineage: Eukaryota; Viridiplantae; Streptophyta; Magnoliopsida; Malpighiales; Salicaceae. The record is from RNAcentral.
UUAGAGAACUCGAAAAUGAGUACUUUAACAUUAAUAAAAUUACGGCCACCAGAUAAUCACGUGCUACGCACGUCAGACCUUUCAGUCCACAUGUAUAUAUAGGGCUCCAACCCACUAAGCAGCCCCUUAUAAUUGCUUUGAAUUAGGGUUAGGUUCCUCCCAGUUUCGUUCCUCCUUCGAAUCGUAGAAAAUCAAACCCUAACCCAAAGCUUCAAUCAUGUCUUCCAAGCUAGGUAUUUUUCUCAUAUAAUUAGAUCUUUUGGUUUUUUUUUCGUUGUUUUCUCACGGGGAGGAUGCUUUGCUCGAUUGGGAUUUUGAUCGAAUGAAAAAUUGAAAUUAUCAUGUGGUUGUUUGUUUUCAGGUGGAAAAGCUAAGCCUUUGAAGGCACCAAAGUCUGAGAAGAAGGAUUACGACGAGGUAUUGUUUUCAAUAAUUUCUUUAUCAAUUUGAUUGGAAACUGUGCAUUUUUUUAAUUUUUUUUUCUUUGUUGUGCAAAGAAUUGAAAGAUUGGAACUUAAAUAAAUUGAUUUUUAUUAAAUCUUUGAGUUUGGUACUUAGCUUUACGUUCUUGACUGGAAAGUAUGCUCGAUUUUAUUUGAUUAACUUUGAUUCUUAUAGUUUAUGGGUUUAUGAUAUGGAAAUUUAUCUGGGUUUUAAGGAAAAUCCAAAUUGGAAUUGAAGUUCGUAUGUUUUAAGCUUUUAGGCAUCUGAUGAAAUUGAAAGAUCUCUUAAUUGGCAAUAUGUGGUUGAAGCUUGGGUGGGCUUUGCUAAUAUGCUAUUGGUUUAAUUGAGGAUAGGUACGGUAUCCCAAAUUGAAGUCCUUUAUGCUGCUUAAGCUUCAAAUAAGAGAGUUGGAUUUGGUGCUCUGAAUUUAUUUUCUCCAUUUCAAAAUUUAUUCAGUACAAAAUUCUAAUUUCUUUUAAUAGACCAUACUAUGUUGCUAUAUUGCUUUUCAUUUGGCAUCUUUAUGCUUGUAUGAAUUGAUUAUUUCUAUGGGAUUGAGAUUCCUUUUUAUGAGUAGAUGACUUGUUUUGGAACUAUGGUGCUUGCUAUUUACUUGUAACUCUUUGCUUUUAUAAACUCUAAACAACUGGCUGGUUAUGAUUUUAAGCAGCCAUUGUUGCAAUAUCCCAUGCAUAUUUUGCUUUUUCUAGAGAAAGAAUUACCUCUACAUGGAGGACUCUAUUUGUAUAAAGUGCUAAUUUUUUUUUUUUACUCUGGCCAUCCUAUGAUGCAAUCCCGUUCGUAACUCUGAUUUCCUACCAUUCCCAUUGCUAUUGUCCUUAAAUUUACUUCACUGAUUUGCAGACUGAUCUGGCCAACAUUCAAAAGAAAAAGGAUGAAGAAAAGGUAAGAGACAAUGGAUAUUACUUUAAAAAAAAAGGAAAAGAAAAGAAACUGGAUGUUUUAUCUUGUUUAUUACCUUUUGCAAUAGUGAAAGGCGACUAAUUUGAUUAUUCUUGUGAUGAGCAGGCACUUAAGGAGCUCAGAGCCAAGGCACAGCAGAAAGGGAGCUUUGGAGGUUCUGGGCUGAAGAAAAGUGGGAAGAAAUGAAGAUUUCAAACCCAGAUAGACAUGGUUUCCUUUAGUGUAUUCUGAACUAUAUUAUGAUGAUAUCUCGUGUUUAGUGUGAUGGUCGCUGAUGUCCUAUGCUUGAUGUGUUGGUCUUCAUCUUGAGCCAGAAUUACGUAAAACUUUAUAAAUUGUGUGCAUCUGUCCUCUAUCCAUGUGCCAACAAUGUAUUUGCUGGCAUUGUUGGAAACUUUGUUCUAUGUAACUCGUUUGCAAUUUGUUGAUUGCGCUUAGUAAUAAUGGUCUCCUGGGUAAUUGAUUUCCUGAGGAUGUGUUUCCCUUUUAAAUUGCAUUAAUGUGAAAAUUGCCCUCGCUGAGGAUGAUGGAAAAGAUUGGGAUAAAUUGUGUUAUUAGCACAAAAAGCAAAAUAAAUGGUGAAGUAACACAAGAUGUGAAAUAGGAUGUCAUGUGGUGUGGUUUAUAA